CUUGGUCAUUUAGAGGAAGUAAAAGUCGUAACAAGGUCUCCGUAGGUGAACCUGCGGAGGGAUCAUUACCGAGUUCAUGCCCACACGGGUAGAUCUCCCACCCUAUGUUAUCAUUACCUUUGUUGCUUUGGCGGGCCGCCAGGCUUCGGUCAGGCUACCGGCCCCGGCUGGUACGCGCCCGCCAGAGGACCCCAAACUCUGAAUGUUAGUGUCGUCUGAGUACUAUCUAAUAGUUAAAACUUUCAACAACGGAUCUCUUGGUUCUGGCAUCGAUGAAGAACGCAGCGAAAUGCGAUAAGUAAUGUGAAUUGCAGAAUUCAGUGAAUCAUCGAAUCUUUGAACGCACAUUGCGCCCCUUGGCAUUCCGAGGGGCAUGCCUGUUCGAGCGUCAUUACAACCCUCAAGCACUGCUUGGCAUUGGGCUCCGCUGCUAACCCAGCGGGCCUUAAAAUCAGUGGCGGCGCCCUCAGGCUCUGAGCGUAGUAAAUCUCCUCGCUAUAGAGUCCUGGUGGUGGUAGUCAUCAACCCCCAACUUUUCUAAGUUUGACCUCGGAUCAGGUAGGGAUACCCGCUGAACUUAAGCAUAUCAAUAAGCGGAGGA
RNAcentral lists this ribosomal RNA (601 nucleotides) under uncultured Helotiales. Its description in RNAcentral is "eukaryotic LSU rRNA". The stretch from base 238 to 391 matches the Rfam family "5.8S ribosomal RNA". Lineage: Eukaryota; Fungi; Ascomycota; Leotiomycetes; Helotiales. The record is from RNAcentral.